Molecule: ribosomal RNA, 873 nt
Filed under: uncultured archaeon
Lineage: Archaea
Description: bacterial SSU rRNA
Rfam family: Archaeal small subunit ribosomal RNA
Source: RNAcentral
CCCGACUGCUAUCAGAGUGAGAUUAAGCCAUGCGAGUUAACGUAGCAAUACGUGGCGCACGGCUCAGUAACACGUAGUCAACAUGCCCAGAGGACGUGGAUAACCUCGGGAAACUGAGUCUAAACCGCGAUAAGUGAGGAUUUCUGGAAUGGUUCCUGACUAAAAUCUAUAUGGCCUCUGGAUUGGACUGCGGCCGAUCAGGCUGUUGGUGAGGUAAUGGCCCACCAAACCUGUAACCGGUACGGGCUCUGAGAGGAGGAGCCCGGAGAUGGGCACUGAGACAAGGGCCCAGGCCCUAUGGGGCGCAGCAGGCGCGAAACCUCUGCAAUAGGCGAAAGCCUGACAGGGUUACUCUGAGUGACUUUCGCUAAGAAAGUCUUUUGGCACCUCUAAAAAGGGUGCAGAAUAAGGGGUGGGCAAGUCUGGUGUCAGCCGCCGCGGUAAUACCAGCACCCCGAGUGGUCGGGACGAUUAUUGGGCCUAAAGCAUCCGUAGCCGGUUCUGCAAGUCCCCCGUUAAAUCCAGCUGCUCAACAGAUGGGCCGCGGAGGAUACUACAGAGCUAGGAGGCAGGAGAGGCAAGCGGUACUCAGUGGGUAGGGGUAAAAUCCGUUGAUCCAUUGAAGACCACCAGUGGCGAAGGCGGCUUGCCAGAAUGCGCUCGACGGUGAGGGAUGAAAGCUGGGGGAGCAAACCGGAUUAGAUACCCGGGUAGUCCCAGCCGUAAACGAUGCAGACUCGGUGAUGGGUUGGCUUCGCGCUAACCCAGUGCCGCAGGGAAGCCGUUAAGUCUGCCGCCUGGGUAGUACGGUCGCAAGACUGAAACUUAAAGGAAUUGGCGGGGGAGCACCACAAGGGGUGAAGCCUGCGGUUC